GGUGUCAUGGCUCAGUGAUAGAGCUUCUGCUUGCCAUACAAAAGGUCCCAGGUUCAACCCCUGACAUCACCA
Molecule: transfer RNA, 72 nt
Filed under: Sphaerodactylus townsendi
Lineage: Eukaryota; Metazoa; Chordata; Lepidosauria; Squamata; Sphaerodactylidae
Description: tRNA-Gly
Rfam family: tRNA
About the family: Transfer RNA (tRNA) molecules are approximately 80 nucleotides in length.
Source: RNAcentral